Molecule: ribosomal RNA, 247 nt
Filed under: uncultured bacterium
Lineage: Bacteria
Also listed under: 1 other name
Description: partial 16S ribosomal RNA
Rfam family: Bacterial small subunit ribosomal RNA
Source: RNAcentral
CACGCCCUAAACGAUGCGAACUGGACGUUGGGCACACUUAGGUGCUCAGUGUCGAAGCUAACGCGUUAAGUUCGCCGCCUGGGGAGUACGGUCGCAAGACUGAAACUCAAAGGAAUUGACGGGGGCCCGCACAAGCGGUGGAGUAUGUGGUUUAAUUCGAUGCAACGCGAAGAACCUUACCUGGCCUUGACAUGUCCGGAAUCCUGCAGAGAUGCGGGAGUGCCUUCGGGAAUCGGAACACAGGUGC